UAGCGAGAAAGAAACCAACAGGGAUUGCCCUAGUAACGGCGAGUGAAGCGGCAACAGCUCAAAUUUGAAAUCUGGCUUCGGCCCGAGUUGUAAUUUGUAGAGGAAACUUUUGGUGAGGCACCUUCUGAGUCCCUUGGAACAGGGCGCCAUAGAGGGUGAGAGCCCCGUAUAGUCGGAUGCCGAUCCAAUGUAAAGUUCCUUCGACGAGUCGAGUAGUUUGGGAAUGCUGCUCAAAAUGGGAGGUAAAUUUCUUCUAAAGCUAAAUAUAGGCCAGAGACCGAUAGCGCACAAGUAGAGUGAUCGAAAGAUGAAAAGCACUUUGAAAAGAGGGUUAAAUAGCACGUGAAAUUGUUGAAAGGGAAGCGUUUGUGACCAGACUUGCGCCGUUCCGAUCAUCCGGUGUUCUCACCGGUGCACUCGGGGCGGCUCAGGCCAGCAUCGGUUUUGGUGGGGGGAUAAAGGUCCAGGGAACGUAGCUCCUCCGGGAGUGUUAUAGCCCUGGGCGUAAUGCCCUCGCUGGGACCGAGGUUCGCGCAUCUGCAAGGAUGCUGGCGUAAUGGUCAUCAACGACCCGUCUUGAAACACGGACCAAGGAGUCAAGGUUUUGCGCGAGUGUUUGGGUGUAAAACCCGCACGCGUAAUGAAAGUGAACGUAGGUGAGAGCUUCGGCGCAUCAUCGACCGAUCCUGAUGUAUUCGGAUGGAUUUGAGUAAGAGCGUUAAGCCUUGGACCCGAAAGAUGGUGAACUAUGCUUGGAUAGGGUGAAGCCAGAGGAAACUCUGGUGGAGGCUCGCAGCGGUUCUGACGUGCAAAUCGAUCGUCAAAUCUGAGCAUGGGGGCGAAAGA
RNAcentral lists this ribosomal RNA (846 nucleotides) under Sordaria sp. HMUABO 823102. RNAcentral describes it as "eukaryotic LSU rRNA". It matches the Rfam family "Eukaryotic large subunit ribosomal RNA", at positions 51 to 930 of the family's 3401-position model. The record is from RNAcentral. Lineage: Eukaryota; Fungi; Ascomycota; Sordariomycetes; Sordariales; Sordariaceae.